CCAACUGCUGCACUAAGGCCUCCGCCAUGAUCAUGCUUGACAUCAGCCUCUGCUCCAGUUCCUCUUUCGAGAUGCACUCCAGGCUGCCUGGGGGACAGCUGCCCGUGCACAUGCAACAGUAAAGACUGCUUAGAACUGAACACUAUCGCCCCGAAGAAGAAAGCUGUGUCUUUGAACAAUGCUUCUGCAGCCAAAAGAAAAUCCAUUACCAUGGAAACGAAGCUCAAGAUCAUAGAAAGAUUGAAGAAAGGAGAGACACCAACAUCACCAAGGCUACAGUCAGUCGACUGUGGUGACAAUUAUUAAAGACAAAGCUCGCAUUUUA
This is a long non-coding RNA of Syngnathoides biaculeatus (alligator pipefish), 325 nucleotides long. RefSeq lists it as uncharacterized. The transcript is spliced from 2 exons. NCBI's taxonomy places the organism in Eukaryota, Metazoa, Chordata, Actinopteri, Syngnathiformes, Syngnathidae. The record is from RefSeq and is a predicted model, not a curated record.